AAUGGCAUUAUUCAGCACUUAUUCUGAAAUUUGCUUUUUUCACUGGAUGUUAUGUCGUGAGAUCUAUUCAUGUGGACAGAGGAUUAGUGUACUCCUUUUAACUGCAGGUUUUUUCCUUUGUGAGACUAGAGAGAAUGAGGGGGUGCCAUCCCGGAGUGCUCGGGUCCCCAGGAGAGACUGGCUUUCCUGAUUCUGAAACAGAGCGAGUAGGGAAGCAUUUGGGGCUGACCACAGGCGGGAAACACAUCUACAAGGUAUCCAUCAGAGCUGACAGAAGAAUGGAACAAUGAAAGACCCUGGAGUCCAUCAUAUCCGAGGAAACCCCCUCCUUACUGCCCGUUUUCCCUUCAUAACUGCCUCAAGAUUCUGUAAUCCUUGAAGCAUGGCGUGCCAAGCGGUGCCAUGUCCGCACCCGGGAUCCGAACUGGCAAACCCUGGUCCACCAAGAAGUGGAACGUGCAAACUUCACUGCUGCGCCACCGGGCCGGCCC
Molecule: long non-coding RNA, 491 nt
Filed under: Equus caballus (horse)
Lineage: Eukaryota; Metazoa; Chordata; Mammalia; Perissodactyla; Equidae
Description: lncRNA (ENSECAG00000044265.1)
Source: RNAcentral